Molecule: small nucleolar RNA, 216 nt
Filed under: Carlito syrichta (Philippine tarsier)
Lineage: Eukaryota; Metazoa; Chordata; Mammalia; Primates; Tarsiidae
Description: Small nucleolar RNA U3 (ENSTSYG00000027456.1)
Rfam family: Small nucleolar RNA U3
About the family: Small nucleolar RNAs (snoRNAs) are involved in the processing and modification of rRNA in the nucleolus. There are two main classes of snoRNAs: the box C/D class, and the box H/ACA class.
Source: Rfam by way of RNAcentral
AAGAGUGUGCUUUCAGGGAUCAUUUCUUCAAUUUCUUACUAGAGAAGUUUCUCUGGGUGCGUGGAGCACUGGAAACCAUGAGGAGGAGGCACAACUUUCUUUCCUGAGCUUGAAACCCGCUCUUGGCAUUGCUUUGCUACAGUUGCCAUUUGUCAUUGAUCAUGGUUCUUCUCCUCCUCCAGGAGAGUAAAAGGGAAAGGGCACAGCCUGAGUGGU